GGUGGUUCAGAGGAGGCUCGAACUGUUGGCAAAUUUGGAAGUUUUUUAAGAUGCUUAUUUAUUUUAUUAUAUUUGUUGGUAGACUUGGCUCGGCUGUUAAAUACCUUGUUUUUGUGUCCCAGUGGGGAGUGAAAAGACGUUUUAUGAAAGGAACAAUGUGGAAACUGACUUCGGAGGAGCCAAGUGUCUUACCCAUAGUUUCCUAGCUGGGGCCAACCACUGCCACAGCACUGAGGGAAUGGUUACAUAAAUCUGCGGAGCCCAGUGCAAAAUGAAAAUAUUUUGAGAAUGUUCAACUUGAAAGAUAUGUUAUUUUCCAGUGUUCAUGAAUAUCUCCAACACUUUACAGUGAUUCAGUUAAUGGGGAGUACCUU
Molecule: long non-coding RNA, 374 nt
Organism: Prionailurus viverrinus (fishing cat)
Lineage: Eukaryota; Metazoa; Chordata; Mammalia; Carnivora; Felidae
Exons: 3
Source: RefSeq, a predicted model, not a curated record